UACAGAGGUCUCAAGCGUUGUUCGGAAUCACUGGGCGUAAAGAGCGCGUAGGUGGCCCGACAAGUCACUGGUGAAAGCUCGACGCUCAACGUCGAGUCGGCCAGUGAUACUGUUGGGCUGGAGCACUGUAGAGGCUCAUGGAAUUCCGGGUGUAGCGGUGGAAUGCGUAGAGAUCCGGAAGAACACCGGUGGCGAAGGCGGUGAGCUGGGCAGUAGCUGACACUGAGGCGCGACAGCGUGGGGAGCAAACAGG
This 253-nucleotide ribosomal RNA is filed under the name uncultured bacterium. Its description in RNAcentral is "partial 16S ribosomal RNA". It matches the Rfam family "Bacterial small subunit ribosomal RNA", at positions 524 to 776 of the family's 1533-position model. The record is from RNAcentral.